This 453-nucleotide ribosomal RNA is filed under the name Magallana hongkongensis (Hong Kong oyster). RNAcentral describes it as "partial 16S ribosomal RNA". The record is from RNAcentral. Lineage: Eukaryota; Metazoa; Mollusca; Bivalvia; Ostreida; Ostreidae.
GUACCUUUAGUAUAAUGGCCUUUCAAGAGAUUUUGCUGUAUUAAGCACCUCCCGAAAUAAAAAGAUUUUUAGGAAAGCAAAAUAGAAGAGGUAUUCGAUGUAUGAAUUCUUGAAUAAACUUUGCUAAGGAUGUGAUAUGCAACUUCGAGUUUUAAGAUAGCUGGUUGUUCGAGAAAUGCUUUUAAGUGCAGCUUUGACGUCGGGUGUGGUGUGUGUUAAAGGGUGCUCACUAAAUCAGUAUGUCAGAAGUGAAAAGUCUAGCUAAAGGUUGGAUUUAAAAGUGCUUUCUAAAUUACCAAAUUUUUAGAAAGAGAAAUUGGGUUUAUGCUGCCCAUUUUGUUAUGAGUAUUUAACAACUUGUCUUUCUAACAGUAAAAGAAUUAUUUUUUAAAAAUGAGGCUAAAAGAAUCGUUCACCUAUCUAAGAUAUCAUUUGAUUGAUUAUUAUGCUGGG